AUCCUAGAGAAGACAAACACGUGUUUGUU
RNAcentral lists this small RNA (29 nucleotides) under Bombyx mori (domestic silkworm). RNAcentral describes it as "ovarian small RNA-12473". The record is from RNAcentral. Lineage: Eukaryota; Metazoa; Arthropoda; Insecta; Lepidoptera; Bombycidae.